UUAAUACUGAUAGGAGUUCUUUUCUGGAAAGAAAGUACUUUCAAAUUCGUGCUCAAGGAUGAGACUGCGGCUGAUUAGCUAGUUGGCGGGGUAAAGGCCCACCAAGGCAUCGAUCAGUAAGGGCCCUUAGCGGGGUAGCCCUGAGAGGGAAUCUGAGACACUAUUCCCAGCUCUACGGAGUGCAGCAGCUAUGAAUCUUCUGCAAUGCGCGCAAGCGUGACAGAGCGAACCAAAGUGAUUAUCUUUUUGAUAAUCUUUUGCCAGCUGUAAAAAGGCUGGCGAAUAAGGACUGGGUAAGAUCGGUGCCAGCCGCCGCGGUAAUCCCGACAGUUCAAGUCGCAAUCAACAUUAUUGGGUCUAAAACAUCCGUAGCUUGUCUAGUAAGUCUUUUGUCAAAUCCUGCAUCUCAAGUGUAGGGCGAGCAGAGGGUACUACUAGGCUAGAGAUCGGUAGGUGUAAGAAGUACGUUCAAGGUAGUAGUAAAAUACGUUAAUCUUGAAUGGACUCACAAUUAGCGAAGGCAUCUUACAAGGACGAAUCUGACAGUGAGGGAUGAAGGCCAAGGGCGCAAAAGGGAUUAGAUACCCCUGUAGUCUCGGCAGUUAACACUGCUCACUAAACAU
This 623-nucleotide ribosomal RNA is filed under the name uncultured archaeon. RNAcentral describes it as "bacterial SSU rRNA". It matches the Rfam family "Archaeal small subunit ribosomal RNA", at positions 146 to 774 of the family's 1478-position model. The record is from RNAcentral.